RNAcentral lists this non-coding RNA (520 nucleotides) under unclassified sequences. RNAcentral's name for it is "ROOL RNA". It matches the Rfam family "ROOL RNA". From Rfam's summary of the family: Firmicutes, Fusobacteria (1 example), Tenericutes (1 example). Environment (Cow rumen (57)) The record is from Rfam by way of RNAcentral.
AACAAAAUAACAAAUUUUAUUUACCUGAGUGCAUAACGGGCUGACAACUCGCUCAGAAAUCGACAACCGGAGGCGUCUUGUGUGUACGGAUACGUUCGCAAGGGGGCUUAUUAAUGGCUGUGAGGCUAUCAAUGGAGAGAGCAUUCUCAAUCGAAGUCGGUUGUGCACAUAAAAUGUAUAGUCAAAGGCUUUGCAAACUUGCCGUCAGAAUAAUAGACGGUCUCUGUGAGACAAUAAGCCCAUAAGCUGUGAGCUGGUGCUUGCAAGCCAAUGUGGGUAAUACCAAAACAAUCUGAUAGCCACGUUGAAAUAAGGCAAGAAGCAAGAAAGAGUAGCAUAAAUCGUGAAACAAAAUUUGCUGAAAGUCAUGUGAAAUUUGCGGGCAUUAAUCUCGCGUAGGAUACAAACGGGUAAGAAGCUUGUGGGUCGCUCCUGCAAGCUCAGCCUUAUCCGCCUAGUGGCUGAAUAUGAUUAGAAUUUUAUGUGUAAAGCGAAAGCUUGAAUAGAAUUUGUUAUUUUG